UGAGUCUGUGCAUUAAAUACCACUCAAGAAAAGACGGCUCUCUGAUUAAGGAUGAGAGCAACAUUUGUCUGUGAUAUAAAUAGUUACAAGACAGUUGCUGCUACGGACAUUUAGCUAGACCCUAAUAUCCGAGUUCCCCUACUAGCGUCUGUAAUUUCCCACUAGUAGGGAAUUUUUGUCCAGAUUACCAAACAUGGCUUUCCUCCAUGGGAGCAAGUCUCAAAUUCAAUUGAUAAGGUGUUCAUCACACCUGUAACAAAAGUGCCCCUGCAACACUACUGGGAACAUUUUGCCUGGGAGUUAGCAAGUGUCAUUUGUUUUAAAAAAAAAUAUCUACCAUAUAAAAGAAAUUUUCCUAGAGGAUAAAAUAAGAGUCCUUUUUUUUUUUAAAGAUGUAUUCAUUUAUUUUAUAUAAGUACACUGUAGCUGUUCGGACACACCAGAAGAGGGCAUCAGAUCUCAUUACAGAUGGUUGUGAACCACCAUGUGGUUGCUGGGAUUUGAACUCAGGACCUCUGGAAGAGCAGUCAGUGCUCUUAACCACUGAGCCAUCUUGUCAGCCCAAUAAUAGAGUCCUUGAUGGAGUUCAUUUCACUGGCAAAGUGGAAAACAGGCAAUAAAAAAAAUAAUAAA
Molecule: long non-coding RNA, 633 nt
Filed under: Rattus norvegicus (Norway rat)
Lineage: Eukaryota; Metazoa; Chordata; Mammalia; Rodentia; Muridae
Description: long non-coding RNA NONRATT008876
Source: RNAcentral